Molecule: long non-coding RNA, 1208 nt
Organism: Episyrphus balteatus (marmalade hoverfly)
Lineage: Eukaryota; Metazoa; Arthropoda; Insecta; Diptera; Syrphidae
Exons: 2
Source: RefSeq, a predicted model, not a curated record
UCUUAUUUCCUAUUAUUCCUGAAAAUUUCAUCAAAAACGGUCCAGUAGUUUGGAUUUUACGGAGUUUUUUCCACUCUCCUAUACAAGGUUCCCCACUGUGCGUCAUGUCAAUCAGUGUCAGUGUUUCCCUUUUCAUCGGUGUUAGUCCUUAUCAAUAGCUUCGCUUUAUAGGCCCUGUCAUUCAAAUGUACCUCCGUAAAUUCUUCAUCAUCAAGUUCUCCCCCAAUUUUCUUUCACUCAUUGAGGUUGGCUGGUGGGUGUUCCGGGAGAAAAGAAAGUUUUCUUACAAUCUCAGGUCUUCGACCCAUUGACAUCCGUAUCUAAACUUUCGAUUUUCAAAACCUUCGGACACUCAAUUUGAAUGAGAAUUCAUUCAACCGCGGAAUGUCCUUGUGAUGAUUGAAAAAUAAGACGUUAUGGUGCUUGACAUUGCGUGCCUGUUUCAGAAGUUUUUUUUUUUUCAAGUUAAAAAAAAUCGCCUCCCUUCAGAUUAUUUCUUUGAUGUCGUUUUUCAGGGAAUAUACAAAAUUUUUUUUCCAGUAGUUUGAAGUUUCCUCCUUUUCCUUACUUGUCUCUGUAUAUUAAAAAUUAAUAUUGAACUUUAGCAAGAAUUUUUGCUGUCGAUAUUGUUCAGUGGCUCUAAAAAGUAGGUACUUUCCAAUAUAACGAAGAAGCACUUGAUAUUACCGAUGUUCAUAAAUUCAUAUUAAACUGGCCCACGAUCAAACAAAACAAGAUACAAUAUGGACAAAAAACCCAAUUAAAUAUUAAUUUGUCAAACGUUUUAAAAAAAAUCAGUUCUCAGAAAAAAAAAUAUCAAAAAAGGACACAUCCGGAUUGUCUCGCAGUUCCUCAAAUAAUGCCAUCACUUUGAUUUCGGUUGAACUUGAUGUUAAAUUGAGAUUGAUUCAAGAGGUGGAACUUAAACAUUUUUUUUUUUGAAAUACACACAAAACCGGAUGACUACACAAACAGACUAUAUCACAAAGAACUGGGAAUUUUAUUUGUUAAUUUUCGAGGAAAAUUCUGUUCUUCCGAUUGCUCUGGGAAAACUGAUGCGUAUGGGUUUUCCAAUUUUAAAAGUAAUUUCAAGGCAAUCAAGUUUUCUACUUUGAACACAACUUGUAUCGAUAUGGUUCACUUAAUUUAUCUUUUUUUUUUCAAGGCAAAAAGUAAAAUUUUUAAAAUCUUUCGUUACACGUUGCUAA